RNAcentral lists this transfer-messenger RNA (367 nucleotides) under bacterium. RNAcentral describes it as "UBA6930 sp002450755 X1 Standard tmRNA". It matches the Rfam family "transfer-messenger RNA". From Rfam's summary of the family: Bacterial tmRNA, also known as 10Sa RNA or SsrA, is named for its dual tRNA and mRNA-like properties. Its role is to liberate the mRNA from a stalled ribosome. The record is from RNAcentral. RNAcentral also lists the same sequence under 1 other name.
GGGGGCGAUCGGCUUCGACGGGUGGUCGAAGGCGGGCGCCGCGUGCCGAGGUCGUCACCCACCUCGAUAAACCGGUGGCCACGUUGGUAGCCAUACAACUGCCGACGCAAACUACGCUCUCGCUGCCUAGCCGAAACUAGGUGAGCGACGCCCGUCCGUGACGCCUUCUAGCGGGUCGCGGGCGUCAUCAGAAGGCUGGUCCCCGGAGCGCCGCUCCGUCGUAGCCGGGGGCGAGACCCACACGGAGCUGGGCCCGGCGACUCCCGUCGCCGCGACGAGCCGGGCCGACACCGAGCGGCGGCUACGCACGUAGACGCGCUGGCCGGACGCCAUGCGGACGCGGGUUCGAUUCCCGCCGCCUCCACCA